AGAGUUUGAUCCUGGCUCAGAAUGAACGUUGGCGGCGUGGAUUAGGCAUGCAAGUCGAGCGUGUACCCCGCAAGGGGGAAAGCGGCGUAAGGGAGAGUAAUACGUAGAUACGUGCCUCCGGGUCUGGGAUAGCCACGGGAAACUGUGGGUAAUACCGGAUAAUGUCUAAGGACCAAAGGUGUGAUUCCACCUGGAGAUCGGUCUGCGUCCUAUCAGCUUGUUGGUGGGGUAACGGCUCACCAAGGCUACGACGGGUACGGGGUGUGAGAGCAUGCCCCCGCUCACUGGGACUGAGACACUGCCCAGACACCUACGGGUGGCUGCAGUCGAGGAUCUUCGGCAAUGGGCGCAAGCCUGACCGAGCGACGCCGCGUGCGGGAUGAAGGCCUUCGGGUUGUAAACCGCUGUCAGUGGGGAGGAAGGCCCUGUGCAGAGCAGGGUUGACCUUCCGCAGAAGAAAUUC
This 463-nucleotide ribosomal RNA is filed under the name uncultured soil bacterium. RNAcentral's name for it is "bacterial SSU rRNA". It matches the Rfam family "Bacterial small subunit ribosomal RNA", at positions 8 to 493 of the family's 1533-position model. The record is from RNAcentral.